GGUUCUAUAGUGUAAUGGUUAGUACUUUGAACUCUAAAUUCAAUGACCUGAGUUCAAAUCUCUGUCAAACCU
This 72-nucleotide transfer RNA is filed under the name Sarcophilus harrisii (Tasmanian devil). It matches the Rfam family "tRNA". Rfam says of the family: Transfer RNA (tRNA) molecules are approximately 80 nucleotides in length. Their secondary structure includes four short double-helical elements and three loops (D, anti-codon, and T loops). The record is from Rfam by way of RNAcentral. Lineage: Eukaryota; Metazoa; Chordata; Mammalia; Dasyuromorphia; Dasyuridae.